This is an unclassified non-coding RNA of Oncorhynchus kisutch (coho salmon), 299 nucleotides long. It matches the Rfam family "Metazoan signal recognition particle RNA". Rfam says of the family: The signal recognition particle (SRP) is a universally conserved ribonucleoprotein. It is involved in the co-translational targeting of proteins to membranes. The eukaryotic SRP consists of a 300-nucleotide 7S RNA and six proteins: SRPs 72, 68, 54, 19, 14, and 9. NCBI's taxonomy places the organism in Eukaryota, Metazoa, Chordata, Actinopteri, Salmoniformes, Salmonidae. The record is from Ensembl.
GCCGGGUGCGGUGGCAUGUGCCUGUAAUCCAAGUCACUGGGAGGCUGAGGUUGGUGGAUCAAGUGAGCUGAGGAGCUCUGGGCUGCAGCACAAUAUGUCGAACGGGUCUCCACGCUAAGUUUGGUAUCGAUAUGGUGUUCCUGGGGGAUACCGGGACCACCAGGUUGUCUAAGGAGGGGUGAACUGGCCCAGGUUGGAGAAGAAGCAGGUCAAAUCCCCCGUGCUGUCCAGUAGUGGGAUAAUACCUGUGAGUAGAUGCUGCAAUGCAGCCUUGGCAAAACAUCGAGACCUAAUCUUUC